AUUGAACGCUUGCGGCCGGCCUAACACAUGCAAGUCGCGCGGAGCGGCGGACGGGUGAGUCAUGCCUAGGAAUCUGCCUGGUAGUGGGGGCUAACGUCCGGAAACGGGCGCUAAUACCGCCUACUAUCAGAUCAGCCUAGGUCGGAUUAGCUAGUUGGUGGGGUAAAGGACUACCAAGGCGACGAUCCGUAACUGGUCUGAGAGGAGGAUCAGUCACACUGGAACUGAGACACGGUCCAGACUCCGACGGGAGGAAGCAGUGGGGAAUAAUGGACAAUGUGCGAAAGCAUGAUCCAGCGAUGCCGCGUGUGUGAAGAAGGUUUUCGGAGUGUAAAGCACUGUAAGGUGGGAGGCGUGACCAACAGAAUAAGCACCGGCUAACUUCGUGCCAGCAGCCGCGGUAAUAC
RNAcentral lists this ribosomal RNA (407 nucleotides) under uncultured bacterium. RNAcentral describes it as "partial 16S ribosomal RNA". It matches the Rfam family "Bacterial small subunit ribosomal RNA", at positions 30 to 526 of the family's 1533-position model. The record is from RNAcentral.